AUCCUCUUUUACUAUACCCAAAUAUCUUUUAGGAGGAUGGGUGAUUCUACCUGAUCUACAAGGUGGAAGUGGAAUAUUAACUAUUGGCUCAUCAUUGAUGGAUUUCUAAGGAUUUAUAGCUCGUUGCUCUUCAAAGACAUUCUCGUCAAGAUCAAUUAACCUCCCACUACCACCAUCCUAAAUAAACUAUUUUUCUAGGAACAUGGUAU
RNAcentral lists this long non-coding RNA (209 nucleotides) under Elaeis guineensis (African oil palm). RNAcentral describes it as "long non-coding RNA (EGUI_LNC058220)". Lineage: Eukaryota; Viridiplantae; Streptophyta; Magnoliopsida; Arecales; Arecaceae. The record is from RNAcentral.